Molecule: ribosomal RNA, 262 nt
Filed under: uncultured bacterium
Lineage: Bacteria
Description: partial 16S ribosomal RNA
Rfam family: Bacterial small subunit ribosomal RNA
Source: RNAcentral
UUGGCGGACGGGUGAGUAACGCGUGAGUAACCUGCCUUUCAGAGGGGGAUAACGUUCUGAAAAGAACGCUAAUACCGCAUAACAUCAAUUUAUCGCAUGAUAGGUUGAUCAAAGGAGCAAUCCGCUGGAAGAUGGACUCGCGUCCGAUUAGCCAGUUGGCGGGGUAACGGCCCACCAAAGCGACGAUCGGUAGCCGGACUGAGAGGUUGAACGGCCACAUUGGGACUGAGACACGGCCCAGACUCCUACGGGAGGCAGCAUG